Molecule: ribosomal RNA, 253 nt
Filed under: uncultured bacterium
Lineage: Bacteria
Description: partial 16S ribosomal RNA
Rfam family: Bacterial small subunit ribosomal RNA
Source: RNAcentral
UACGUAGGGUGCGAGCGUUAAUCGGAAUUACUGGGCGUAAAGAGUGCGUAGGCGGUUCGUUAUGUCUGCUGUGAAAGCCCCGGGCUUAACCCGGGAAUGGCAGUGGAAACUGGCGGGCUUGAGUGUGGCAGAGGGGGGUGGAAUUCCGCGUGUAGCGGUGAAAUGCGUAGAGAUGUGGAGGAACACCGAUGGCGAAGGCAGCCUUCUGGGCCAACACUGACGCUCAUGCACGAAAGCGUGGGGAGCAAACAGG